RNAcentral lists this ribosomal RNA (433 nucleotides) under uncultured bacterium. RNAcentral's name for it is "partial 16S ribosomal RNA". It matches the Rfam family "Bacterial small subunit ribosomal RNA", at positions 29 to 507 of the family's 1533-position model. The record is from RNAcentral.
AGCGAACGCUGGCGGCAGGCUUAACACAUGCAAGUCGAGCGGACCUUUCGGGGUCAGCGGCGGACGGGUGAGUAACGCGUGGGAACGUGCCUUCCGGUUCGGAAUAACCCUGGGAAACUAGGGCUAAUACCGGAUACGCCCUUAUGGGGAAAGGUUUACUGCCGGAAGAUCGGCCCGCGUCGGAUUAGCUAGUUGGUGGGGUAACGGCCUACCAAGGCGACGAUCAGUAGCUGGUCUGAGAGGAUGAGCAGCCACACUGGGACUGAGACACGGCCCAGACUCCUACGGGAGGCAGCAGUGGGGAAUAUUGGACAAUGGGCGCAAGCCUGAUCCAGCCAUGCCGCGUGAGUGAUGAAGGCCUUAGGGUUGUAAAGCUCUUUUAUCCGGGACGAUAAUGACGGUACCGGAGGAAUAAGCCCCGGCUAACUUCGUG